GCCGGGUGCAGUGGCGCGCGCCUGUAAUCCAAGCUGCUGGGAGGCUGAGGCUGGCGGAUCGCUUGAGUUCAGGGGUUCUGGGCUGCAGUGGACUAUGUCGAUUGGGUGUCCGUGCUAAGUUCGGUAUCGAUAUGGUGCUCCUGGGGGAGCUCGGGACCACCAGGUCGUCUAAGGAGGGGUGAACAGGCCCAGGUCGGAGACGGAGCAGGUCAAAGCCCCCGUGCCGAUCAGUAGUGGGGUCGCACCUGUGAAUAGACACUGCAGUGCAGCCUGAGCGAUACAGCGAGACUCAGUCUUUU
Cyprinus carpio carpio is the source of this 299-nucleotide unclassified non-coding RNA. It matches the Rfam family "Metazoan signal recognition particle RNA". From Rfam's summary of the family: The signal recognition particle (SRP) is a universally conserved ribonucleoprotein. It is involved in the co-translational targeting of proteins to membranes. The eukaryotic SRP consists of a 300-nucleotide 7S RNA and six proteins: SRPs 72, 68, 54, 19, 14, and 9. NCBI's taxonomy places the organism in Eukaryota, Metazoa, Chordata, Actinopteri, Cypriniformes, Cyprinidae. The record is from Ensembl.